Molecule: long non-coding RNA, 323 nt
Filed under: Panax ginseng (ginseng)
Lineage: Eukaryota; Viridiplantae; Streptophyta; Magnoliopsida; Apiales; Araliaceae
Description: long non-coding RNA (PGIN_LNC007252)
Source: RNAcentral
UCUUCAUUUCCUCCUUGGAUAGAGUGCUUCCUAAAAUGAUUACUGCAAACUUUCUUUCAACAGGGAAGGCUAGGGGAUUCUCCUAAAGACAAAAGCAUUAGAGAAGAGGAAUUUAUCUCUUGGCCGUAUCUAUUUUUUAUAUUUAUAUUGUUUAGUUAGAACAAGCGAAUGAAUGACCAAAUAUGGAGAAAGACUAGACUUCCGGCUGCUGAAGCAUGAACCAUAGGAUGAUUUCAUAGGGACGGGGUUCCAAGACAGAUACAGAUCAAACUAAAGAUAUUAAGCAUAACAUACAUUUUGUUCUUGGAGAUAAUUGCAUUUUG